UCAGGAUGAACGCUAGCUACAGGCUUAACACAUGCAAGUCGAGGGGCAGCAUGGUCUUAGCUUGCUAAGGCCGAUGGCGACCGGCGCACGGGUGAGUAACACGUAUCCAACCUGCCGUCUACUCUUGGACAGCCUUCUGAAAGGAAGAUUAAUACAAGAUGGCAUCAUGAGUCCGCAUGUUCACAUGAUUAAAGGUAUUCCGGUAGACGAUGGGGAUGCGUUCCAUUAGAUAGUAGGCGGGGUAACGGCCCACCUAGUCUUCGAUGGAUAGGGGUUCUGAGAGGAAGGUCCCCCACAUUGGAACUGAGACACGGUCCAAACUCCUACGGGAGGCAGCAGUGAGGAAUAUUGGUCAAUGGGCGCAGGCCUGAACCAGCCAAGUAGCGUGAAGGAUGACUGCCCUAUGGGUUGUAAACUUCUUUUAUAAAGGAAUAAAGUCGGGUAUGUAUACCCCUUUGCAUGUACUUUAUGAAUAAGGAUCGGCUAACUCCGUGCCAGCAGCCGCGGUAAUACGGAGGAUCCGAGCGUUAUCCGGAUUUAUUGGGUUUAAAGGGAGCGUAGAUGGAUGUUUAAGUCAGUUGUGAAAGUUUGCGGCUCAACCGUAAAAUUGCAGUUGAUACUGGAUAUCUUGAGUGCAGUUGAGGCAGGCGGAAUUCGUGGUGUAGCGGUGAAAUGCUUAGAUAUCACGAAGAACUCCGAUUGCGAAGGCAGCCUGCUAAGCUGCAACUGACAUUGAGGCUCGAAAGUGUGGGUAUCAAACAGGAUUAGAUACCCUGGUAGUCCACACGGUAAACGAUGAAUACUCGCUGUUUGCGAUAUACAGCAAGCGGCCAAGCGAAAGCGUUAAGUAUUCCACCUGGGGAGUACGCCGGCAACGGUGAAACUCAAAGGAAUUGACGGGGGCCCGCACAAGCGGAGGAACAUGUGGUUUAAUUCGAUGAUACGCGAGGAACCUUACCCGGGCUUAAAUUGCAGAUGAAUUACGGUGAAAGCCGUAAGCCGCAAGGUAUCUGUGAAGGUGCUGCAUGGUUGUCGUCAGCUCGUGCCGUGAGGUGUCGGCUUAAGUGCCAUAACGAGCGCAACCCUUGUUGUCAGUUACUAACAGGUUCUGCUGAGGACUCUGACAAGACUGCCAUCGUAAGAUGUGAGGAAGGUGGGGAUGACGUCAAAUCAGCACGGCCCUUACGUCCGGGGCUACACACGUGUUACAAUGGGGGGUACAGAGGGCCGCUACCACGCGAGUGGAUGCCAAUCCCAAAAACCUCUCUCAGUUCGGACUGGAGUCUGCAACCCGACUCCACGAAGCUGGAUUCGCUAGUAAUCGCGCAUCAGCCACGGCGCGGUGAAUACGUUCCCGGGCCUUGUACACACCGCCCGUCAAGCCAUGGGAGCCGGGGGUACCUGAAGUGCGUAACCGCGAGGAGCGCCCUAGGGUAAAACUGGU
This 1444-nucleotide ribosomal RNA is filed under the name uncultured organism. Its description in RNAcentral is "SSU rRNA". It matches the Rfam family "Bacterial small subunit ribosomal RNA". The record is from RNAcentral.